This 277-nucleotide ribosomal RNA is filed under the name uncultured bacterium. Its description in RNAcentral is "partial 16S ribosomal RNA". It matches the Rfam family "Bacterial small subunit ribosomal RNA", at positions 29 to 305 of the family's 1533-position model. The record is from RNAcentral.
AUUGAACGCUGGCGGCAUGCCUUACACAUGCAAGUCGAGCGGCAGCGCGGGGGCAACCCUGGCGGCGAGCGGCGCACGGGUGAGUAAUGCAUCGGAACGUGUCCUCUUGUGGGGGAUAACCAGUCGAAAGACUGGCUAAUACCGCAUGAGAUCGAGAGAUGAAAGCAGGGGACCCGCAAGGGCCUUGCGCGAGAGGAGCGGCCGAUGCCCGAUUAGCUAGUUGGCGGGGUAAAAGCCCACCAAGGCGACGAUCGGUAGCUGGUCUGAGAGGACGACC